AUUCUCCAGUUCAGUGUUUAGGAUACAGCAUCACAAAUAAGACAAUGCUCAGUGAAUAUUCACUCUUCUAUUCGUUGAGACUGUUGCAAUUACUUAAUUUUUUCUCUAAGGGUGAAAGUUGCAGUUCAGCAAACUAAGGAUUUCUGCAUAGUCUUUAAGAUUUUCAGGGGGUUUUUUGUAGGUUUUUCUUUUUUUUAUCCAAGCUACAUCUCUAGAAGAGCUUAAGAAUGAAAUUUUAUCAUUAAGAGCAUUUUACUGUCUGGGAUGCAUGUUACCCCAGCUUGUCUACUGUACAGUUAAAUUAGGCAUAGAGGGAGCAAGGUUGCUGAACCUUGCUCUGAAAGAGGAACAGAAUUGAGAUCAUGACCUCCACACAUGAAUUCAAGUUCUGGAUUAAGGUUUAAGCACUGUCUUUGUAAUCUUGGACUUCCUUAUUGAUACAUUUCUCUUUAAAAGGAAAAUGGAUUUGAUGUGAGCACUCUGUCUGUCCAGAAGUACUGAUCUCUUUUGCCGAGCUAAUACCUUUUUUUUCUGGAUCAUCUUUCAAAUGCAAGUGCUGUUAUGGAUUUUGAACACUGAAUACACUGAAUUACAUCUUAGCCUGGGUGAACAUUAUCACAAGGAUCAAUACCUCAAGAACUACUGGCUACCUUAAAUUCCAUUUUUACUCCAUUGGUCCUGCCAAGGCAGAAAGGAAGGUGUGAAAUAUAAAUUUAAGAUUCAGGAGCGCUGAACGGUUUGAUGAUUUGGAGCCAAGUAAAAUGAAACAUCUAAACCAAAAGGAAGAGGUGAAAGGAACAGGAGAGAUGCACAUGCUCCUAAAGUAGCUUAGUGUGACACUCUAAGCUGUAUGUGCACAGAUGUACAUAUGUGUGUAGAAACACCCACAGGACCCUGUGUGUUCUGAUGCAUGGGACUGGACAUUGCACAGAAGGAAAUCAUUCUGACAUGCUUUGAUAGAAGGUCUGUGAAGAAAAGAAACCAAAGAAAAUCCUGACCCAAAAAUACAAGCCUCUAAGAUAAUUCAUCCCAGCUGAAGAUCUGCUAAUACCUGAGGAGUCUUUUGGGAAAUGUGCAGGACAAAGAUACCAGAAGUUCAGUUUGUGAUUAUUUGUUUCUUUAAACAAAGAUUUUUUUAUUUCAAUGGUAGUUGGUUGGUUUUUUUUUUUAAUUAGCAGAACAGUGACUGUAAGACUGGUCUCUGGAUUGCCUUUGUGGUCUAAAAGAAUUCCUUCAGGAGGUUCUGUUUUCUCAAAAACCUAAAUAAUGCCCUAUUUUAGGGAUGUUCUUAACUAAGUGCAGUCUGCAGCUCUCAGCAGUGCCCUGUUAAUGACUUCUGAACCACUCAUCCAACAGCCCCUUCAUGCACUCUCUCUGAUGGUGCAGACAUGCCCUUUCUUGUUAGUGACUUCAGGCCAUUCACCACAAGAGUUAAUGGACAGACAAACAUUAAACAGUUCAUGUAAGAGUAAUUUAACAUAAAACCUGAUUGCUAAAAGCACUAGGCCACGUCUCACAACUUCACUUAACAAGGGGCUAUUUAGACAAAAGAAUUAUGUGCUACAAUUUGAAACAUCAUGACAGAGGAAUUUUAGGCACAGAGAUUUGAAAAUAGUAGAAAGCUUCAUACAACCUAAUUGUAAAAACCUGAAAGUUCAGAAGGUGUCUGGACAGGAUGUUCCUGCAUGGCUGAUGUUCCAGCCAUCAGUGAAUUCUGUCUGGUUGGAUAUGUCACCAGGUCCCUCUUCUCUCUGACUCAGCCCUCUUGCAGGCUGAGCUGCUAUGCCAGAAUCCACUCAGAGCUGCCUGCAGGCACUGAAUUUUGAUGUGAUUUGGACACAAAGGUUUAAUAUUGUCUAGGAGUUCAUUAUAAGUUAUAACAAAGUGUAGUUGGCAAGGCUUUCUACAGUCAAAGAAAUCUGGAUGACUUCAGGCAUAACCAUCAUAAGCAGAGUUCUCUGACUGAUGGUGCUUUUAGAAUAAGGUUGUCUUAUAUUCCCUGAACUGAAAGUAAAUAUCUGUUGAUCUUUUAUUUUAUUUCGUUAGAUUCCUUGCUCCUUCAUCUAGAUUUCAAAGGACAGGUCUGCAUGGUAGGCCUAAGUAGAAAGUUACUCUUAAGCAGUGCUAGAGCAUUAUUUUCUAUCUCCAUUAAAAUGGUGGUGAAAACAUGUUACUGGUUUUUUUCCCAAGGCUUUCAGUAGCUCAGCUGUACUGCAAUGAUUCAAAUUAGCUUAUUGAUUCUUAUCUAACAGUGCCUAUUACGUGUUAUUUUAGGUUAUCAUUUCUUUAGUUUGUCUUCUAUUUUUUCAUCAGUCACUAGUUGCAGAUCUUCAUACACCAGUUAUUGGGGGAAAAUGAAAUUCUCUUUUUUACUGAAACUCUCUAAGCACUUCAGUGUAAGAUAAGAAUGUACCAUUAACACCUGGCCAUCUUCCAAUUUGGCUUCAUAUCUUUCAAAACUUAUUUCUCAGUUCAGUAGUAGACAUAAAUUGGUUGAAGCAAAACUUAUUUGACAUAUACCACUUGAAAGAUAAAUCAAAUAAACAACCAAACCCAUGCUAGUAAUAGUGUUGUUAUCUGAUUCUCUUUUUCAUAUGGCAGCAUCUAUCAAAAUGUGUUAAAACCCUAAAGCCACAAAUCCCUAUAGGAUUUGUGUGCAGCAGCAGCAGCAAAAAAAAAAAAAAAAUAGAGAUCCUGUUCAAGACUUUGUAAUCUUACCCCUAUGCAAAUUAAAAGGGUUGCUUUGGAUCUAAAUUGAGCUUGAAUGUGAAGGAAAAAUACAGGAAAUCAACUACAGAACUGACAAAGAGAAGAGGCUGGAACAAACACCACCCUAUUAUUUUCAGAACCAUAAUUUUUUCCAAGAGAUUGAUGAUGCACACAAGAAAGAACAUUGCACCUUUUACAACACAGUACUUUUAUUACUGGAUCAUCUUUGUGCCGAAACAGAGUCAAGAGCAUUAAUACCACCAUGAUUUUUUCAUUAAUACAGUAUGAAUGUUGUGCAAUUUAACUGUUUCCAAUAAAACAGUUUCACAGCAAGACUGCUAACACUGACACAACUCUUUCCUAGGUCUGAGUGGAUAUUUUGUAGACUGAAAUCAACAAAAUAGAAUAAAAUAUCAUGGAGGCUCACUACUGACUGUAAUCACAAUCCUGAAGUGCAAGCCUUGCAAUCCCCAAGAGCUAAAUAUUUCAGCACAUGUAGAGUGUUCAUUGUAACUUUUUCAUUGUAAAAUUUUCAUUUUCCUUGCUAUGUGUUUAAAGUAGCACUAGGCCACAAUUUUGGGGACAGGUCUCUGCUGCAUCAGGGGGAAAAAAAUGAACAGAAAAGGAUACUGAGGCAUUGAGAUAACUCCUUCUGGUCUUCUUGAAAUGAUGACAGUAAUUAUUAGAAGAAAUUGAGGAUGAUCCCCCUUCAUUCUUCCAACCAGGUAUGAGAGACUGAAAUGUUAAAUGUUAAUGACUUAAAAAAUCAGCCAUUUGCAAAAGCAGGAGGUGUCCUGCUGAGGCCAGGGUUGCACACCCCAGCUGAAGGGGAGGAGGAGAGUUUGUGUGUGUGGGUUGGAAUCUCUGAUCCACACUCACCACCAGGCCAUGACCAACAUAAACCAACCUUUGUGCAGCAACAAGCUUGUAUUUACUGGGAAAAUAUAUAAACAGAUGCAAUACAUCUGCACAGACUUUUGUACAGUUACCAUUUUGUAACAUUAAAUAUUGAGUUUUAAUGCAACAGAUACAGACGGUAAAAUUAAAUAAAGGCAUAAAAGAAAGGUCUAUUAUUUUCUCAAAUUACUUAUGAACAUUUCCAUUUCAGUCUUGUUAUACUGGUGCCAAGAAAAUAUCACAAUGUCAUUAAGUACUGAAGUAACAGUGACAUUUUAGGCAAGUCAUGAAUGAUGCUUUACAGAGCACUUCAAGCAGGCAGGGAAGCAGCUCCUUGUAUAUAUCAUUAUCUUCUAUUAGUAAUGUGCCAGUUUUGAAGGAGGAACAUUCAUUGCUAUAGCAAUAACUUGAUGACAGUUUUCAAAAACAUCCCACUAGGAAAGAAGGUGAUGAAGGACUGGCCUGAUAUCACCCAUGUACCUUUAAAACCAAACCUCUCCAGUUAAAUGAAUGUAGUGCAGCACACAGCAACUGUGAGUGUGGCUUUUCAGUUUUGAAUGUAUCCUGUCAGCCUGACUUUAUUUUGCUUCUAUCACAGUGGCUCAUGAUGAGACAGGAAGCGAGGAGGAGGAAAUUGUAACAAAGGUGGACAGUUGAAACUUAUACAGAAGAGAAAUCUGAGAAGAGAGGGAAAUGGAGAGGGGAUUGUUUGUCUUACAGAAGGAAGGAAGGACCUAAAUGUACUGGCAGCUGUGGAUAAAAGGAGAAGAAUGGGGCAGGGUGAUGAGCAGUGCACACACCUUUGAAAGCAAAGCUGUGAUGAGACAAUGAAGAGUACAAGCAGUGGCAGUACAGAUCAGGAUUAUAAAUGGGAUGGGGACUGAGGGAGAGGUAUUUUCCCAGAAGUGGUCUUGUUUUUUCAUCUUGGCAAUCUCUACACUCUUCCCUGAGGCCAAAUUCGCACCUAUACUUGACAUGUGAGAAAGUCUCAGACACAAGACAAGAAAUAUAUUGUAAACGGAACCAUAUUUUGUAUGAAAGGCAGCUCCCGACAGCAGAAAGGCAGCAGCCUCUCCAGCAGUAAUGAGCAGCAGAAGUGCUCUUAUACCUCUUCACAAAGAAUGCAGCUGAUGGGACACCAGCACCCACAGAUGUGGUUUAAGUGUCACCUUGCACAUUCCUCCAAGACUGUUGGCCUGAGUAAAUUGAUUUUUAUUUCCAAGCUGUGAUGUAAAGUUGGCAGUUUGACUCCAUGCUGAAAAUGUUGAGAAGCCCUCACAGUCCAAAGAGUGUCAUCCAGACACAUACCCUGGGAGACCUGGUGAAUCUGGAGGGAUACCAGACACCAGUCAGCAUGAAGGCUUCCACAAAAAAGAGACCAUGACAAAGGAAGUCCACAAGAGAAGGAUGUUUAAAAACUUAAAAACUGGUAGUUGUCACACCAACUCAGCUUUCAUGGUGCUUCAGCAUCUACAGAAGGAAAGCAAGAACUAGGUGUGCUCCUAAGAGCAGGGGAACCUUUGCAGUUUGCCAGCUGAUUUGCUCACUGUAGGGUGAGGUACUGCGAUUCCCUAAAUUUAGCCUAACUUCAUAAUAGCCUGGUUUAGUGGGAGGACUUUCAUCAGAUAACAAAAUAUUCUCAGAACAUUGCUGCUUGUUACUCUCCCUGUGACAAUAUUUAUCAAAUUGAUUGUAUCAGGCCAUUUCACAUAGUCAAAAGCAAAACAUGUGCAGUGUCAUGGCAUAACAUUGUGUCAUUCUGAAGUUAUCAUGUCCAUCUUAUGAUCCAUGAUAAAUUGAAAGAAUGAUGACAAGGAGCAGUAAAUUCUGUAAAUUUCUGCCUAAAAUUUUACUCAUUAUCUUGGCUGUUAUUUCAUUUUGCAACAAUUUUUUUUUUCUGCCAAGCCAAAAGUUAUUCCCUGUGAGUGUCAAAUGUAUUCUGUACACUGUAAAACAGAUUUUCUGUCUUGAAAGUAAAAAAUAAUAAGAUACAUAAAAUGCAUGAUCAGUAACUUCUUUACAUUUAUUCCUUAAAAAUAGAUUUUUCAAAGAAUUGUAUGAGCACAGUCAAUUAACCAGAACCUUUUUACUAGACACUGCCCAUGAUGCUUUCAUUGUAAAGGACAUUUGAUUGGAAUAGAGACAUAUAUAAUGGGAUACAUAUUUUCUAAUAAACAGUCAAAUGAUUAUUCAGAGAGAAAUGAAAAACUUAUUUCCUUCAAGCUGCUAGGUGAACACUAACCACCUUUUUGAUGGUAUAUUCUUAUUUAUUAAAUACCACUUUAUUUCUCUGUGGAACAAUAACAGACUUUCUGGCAAAAUAAAAACAUCCUUAAAUUAAUGGGGAAUGACAAUACAUACACCCCAAGGAUUUCAGCUUCAUGUCAUAAAAAGUGUAACUCUCUAUGUGUGUGUAUCUAUGCCCUUCCUGACUAUUUUGUGAUUAUGUUCAGAACCCAAGAUGUCAAAUUUAUAUUUACCUUGAAUAAUAAAACCAUGGCUUGAGUUAAAA
Haemorhous mexicanus (house finch) is the source of this 6118-nucleotide long non-coding RNA. RefSeq lists it as uncharacterized. Lineage: Eukaryota; Metazoa; Chordata; Aves; Passeriformes; Fringillidae. The record is from RefSeq and is a predicted model, not a curated record. The transcript has 8 exons.